RNAcentral lists this ribosomal RNA (322 nucleotides) under uncultured bacterium. Its description in RNAcentral is "bacterial SSU rRNA". It matches the Rfam family "Bacterial small subunit ribosomal RNA", at positions 202 to 507 of the family's 1533-position model. The record is from RNAcentral.
AAAGCAGGGGAUCUUCGGACCUUGCGCUAUUGGAUGAGCCCAAGCGGAUUAGCUUGUUGUCGGGGUAAUGGCCCACCAAGGCAACGAUCCGUAGCUGGUCUGAGAGGAUGAUCAGCCACACUGGGACUGAGACACGGCCCAGACUCCUACGGGAGGCAGCAGUGGGGAAUAUUGCACAAUGGGCGAAAGCCUGAUGCAGCCAUGCCGCGUGUGUGAAGAAGGCUCUAGGGUUGUAAAGCACUUUCAGUAGGGAGGAAAAGCUCAAGGUUAAUAACCUUGAGCCCUGACGUUACCUACAGAAGAAGCACCGGCAAACUCCGUG